RNAcentral lists this transfer RNA (36 nucleotides) under Platalea leucorodia (Eurasian spoonbill). Its description in RNAcentral is "partial tRNA-Trp". Lineage: Eukaryota; Metazoa; Chordata; Aves; Pelecaniformes; Threskiornithidae. RNAcentral also lists the same sequence under 1 other name. The record is from RNAcentral.
GAAACUUAGGAUAACACAAACCGAAGGCCUUCAAAG